GGGUUGUGAGGUUAAGCGACUAAGCGUACACGGUGGAUGCCCUGGCAGUCAGAGGCGAUGAAGGACGUGCUAAUCUGCGAAAAGCGUCGGUAAGGUGAUAUGAACCGUUAUAACCGGCGAUGUCCGAAUGGGGAAACCCAGUGUGAUUCGUCACACUAUCGUUAACUGAAUACAUAGGUUAACGAGGCGAACCGGGGGAACUGAAACAUCUAAGUACCCCGAGGAAAAGAAAUCAACCGAGAUUCCCCCAGUAGCGGCGAGCGAACGGGGAGCAGCCCAGAGUCUGAAUCAGCUUGUGUGUUAGUGGAACGGUCUGGAAAGUCCGACGGUACAGGGUGAUAGUCCCGUACACCAAAAUGCACAGGUUGUGAACUCGAAGAGUAGGGCGGGACACGUGGUAUCCUGUCUGAAUAUGGGGGGACCAUCCUCCAAGGCUAAAUACUCCUGACUGACCGAUAGUGAACCAGUACCGUGAGGGAAAGGCGAAAAGAACCCCGGCGAGGGGAGUGAAAAAGAACCUGAAACCGUGUACGUACAAGCAGUGGGAGCACCUUCGGGUGUGACUGCGUACCUUUUGUAUAAUGGGUCAGCGACUUAUAUUCUGUAGCAAGGUUAACCGUAUAGGGGAGCCGCAGGGAAACCGAGUCUUAACUGGGCGUUAAGUUGCAGGGUAUAGACCCGAAACCCGGUGAUCUAGCCAUGGGCAGGUUGAAGGUUGGGUAACACUAACUGGAGGACCGAACCGACUAAUGUUGAAAAAUUAGCGGAUGACUUGUGGCUGGGGGUGAAAGGCCAAUCAAACCGGGAGAUAGCUGGUUCUCCCCGAAAGCUAUUUAGGUAGCGCCUCGUGAAUUCAUCUUCGGGGGUAGAGCACUGUUUCGGCUAGGGGGUCAUCCCGACUUACCAACCCGAUGCAAACUACGAAUACCGAAGAAUGUUAUCACGGGAGACACACGGCGGGUGCUAACGUCCGUCGUGAAGAGGGAAACAACCCAGACCGCCAGCUAAGGUCCCAAAGUCAUGGUUAAGUGGGAAACGAUGUGGGAAGGCACAGACAGCCAGGAUGUUGGCUUAGAAGCAGCCAUCAUUUAAAGAAAGCGUAAUAGCUCACUGGUCGAGUCGGCCUGCGCGGAAGAUGUAACGGGGCUAAACCAUGCACCGAAGCUGCGGCAGCGACACUAUGUGUUGUUGGGUAGGGGAGCGUUCUGUAAGCCUGCGAAGGUGACCUGUGAGGGUUGCUGGAGGUAUCAGAAGUGCGAAUGCUGACAUAAGUAACGAUAAAGCGGGUGAAAAGCCCGCUCGCCGGAAGACCAAGGGUUCCUGUCCAACGUUAAUCGGGGCAGGGUGAGUCGACCCCUAAGGCGAGGCCGAAAGGCGUAGUCGAUGGGAAACAGGUUAAUAUUCCUGUACUUGGUGUUACUGCGAAGGGGGGACGGAGAAGGCUAUGUUAGCCGGGCGACGGUUGUCCCGGUUUAAGCAUGUAGGCUGGUUAUCCAGGCAAAUCCGGAUAAUCAAGGCUGAGGUGUGAUGACGAGGCACUACGGUGCUGAAGUAACAAAUGCCCUGCUUCCAGGAAAAGCCUCUAAGCAUCAGGUAACAUCAAAUCGUACCCCAAACCGACACAGGUGGUCAGGUAGAGAAUACCAAGGCGCUUGAGAGAACUCGGGUGAAGGAACUAGGCAAAAUGGUGCCGUAACUUCGGGAGAAGGCACGCUGGUGUGUAGGUGAAGUCCCUGCGGAUGGAGCUGAGACCAGUCGAAGAUACCAGCUGGCUGCAACUGUUUAUUAAAAACACAGCACUGUGCAAACACGAAAGUGGACGUAUACGGUGUGACGCCUGCCCGGUGCCGGAAGGUUAAUUGAUGGGGUUAUCCGUAAGGAGAAGCUCUUGAUCGAAGCCCCGGUAAACGGCGGCCGUAACUAUAACGGUCCUAAGGUAGCGAAAUUCCUUGUCGGGUAAGUUCCGACCUGCACGAAUGGCGUAAUGAUGGCCAGGCUGUCUCCACCCGAGACUCAGUGAAAUUGAACUCGCUGUGAAGAUGCAGUGUACCCGCGGCAAGACGGAAAGACCCCGUGAACCUUUACUAUAGCUUGACACUGAACAUUGAGCCUUGAUGUGUAGGAUAGGUGGGAGGCUUUGAAGCGUGGACGCCAGUCUGCGUGGAGCCAACCUUGAAAUACCACCCUUUAAUGUUUGAUGUUCUAACGUUGGCCCCUGACCGGGGUUGCGGACAGUGUCUGGUGGGUAGUUUGACUGGGGCGGUCUCCUCCCAAAGCGUAACGGAGGAGCACGAAGGUUAGCUAAUCCUGGUCGGACAUCAGGAGGUUAGUGCAAUGGCAUAAGCUAGCUUGACUGCGAGCGUGACGGCGCGAGCAGGUGCGAAAGCAGGUCAUAGUGAUCCGGUGGUUCUGAAUGGAAGGGCCAUCGCUCAACGGAUAAAAGGUACUCCGGGGAUAACAGGCUGAUACCGCCCAAGAGUUCAUAUCGACGGCGGUGUUUGGCACCUCGAUGUCGGCUCAUCACAUCCUGGGGCUGAAGUAGGUCCCAAGGGUAUGGCUGUUCGCCAUUUAAAGUGGUACGCGAGCUGGGUUUAGAACGUCGUGAGACAGUUCGGUCCCUAUCUGCCGUGGGCGCUGGAGAAUUGAGGGGGCUGCUCCUAGUACGAGAGGACCGGAGUGGACGCAUCACUGGUGUUCGGGUUGUCAUGCCAAUGGCACUGCCCGGUAGCUAAAUGCGGAAGAGAUAAGUGCUGAAAGCAUCUAAGCACGAAACUUGCCCCGAGAUGAGUUCUCCCUGAGACUUUAAGUCUCCUGAAGGAACGUUGAAGACGACGACGUUGAUAGGCCGGGUGUGUAAGCGCAGCGAUGCGUUGAGCUAACCGGUACUAAUGAACCGUGAGGCUUAACCUUACAACGCCGAAG
RNAcentral lists this ribosomal RNA (2922 nucleotides) under Klebsiella pneumoniae. RNAcentral describes it as "bacterial LSU rRNA". It matches the Rfam family "Bacterial large subunit ribosomal RNA". The record is from RNAcentral. Lineage: Bacteria; Pseudomonadati; Pseudomonadota; Gammaproteobacteria; Enterobacterales; Enterobacteriaceae.